GUACCAAUACCAAAUUUGAGUACCAUUGUAUCACUGUUCAAAGCACUGUCAAAUUCCUUUCAUCCUUUAAUAACUCUAAGAUCCUUGAAUCUUCAGUCUGAUUUUUGCUGGAAACAAAAACGGAACCAUUGACUAGUAAUUUCUUCAGAAGCACAGAUGUUCUGCAAACAGUCCUUUCCUGUGUGUCUUCUGUUACCCUCACAGCAGAGUUAUUUUGAUUGGCUGUUUGUUUAGUUUCUUUGUUUUUAAUCCCCGGCUGGCACUUUACUCAUUGCAGUUGAGUUUAUUGCCCCGUUACUGAAGAACUCAGGAUGACCCUGGAAAGGAGAUCUGGGUUUCAGAGAUUUCCCAUCUAAGAAGAAAAUGUCCUAGAGUUCUUGAUUCUUUUCCAAACAGUCCCCUACUUUUAUUUACAGCUUUCUCUUUACCUUGUCCAAAAUUUAGCCUUGAAGCAGUUUCCCUCUGUGGCUUUGCCUUUCUCAUAUUCUCAGAGGCUUCAAGUUUUAAUGAAAUCCCAGGAUCCAAGAACCAAGGGGAGGGGUGGGAUGGCACUUUUUCUCAUUCUUGUUUAUUUUGAGGGGUCUUUUUUUUUUUCUUUGGUUGGUUUAAGAUUAGCCAUUCUCUGCUGCUAUUUCUUUAUAUAAUGUAAGUUUUUAACUGCAAUUUUGAGAUGAUUGAGAUUUACUUGAGGCUUUUUUUUUUUUUUUUUUUUAAUGAGAAAUGGCUUUGUGAAUCUUAUUUUAGGAUGAGCCUCUCCUAGACUUGCGCUAGACAUUACAUAUUCCUUGGGUCAUACUGCAAAGCAAAAAAGGGGCAGAAUUGGGGUCACAGCCACUUGUUCAGCAUGGACCAAGUGGGCCUUGGGGAUUACCGCAUUCUCCGGAAGCAGCUACAGGACUCUGAUUAACAGAAAGCCAAGGAGAUGCAACUUGAGGCUCUACUAGCAAAGCUACAGAUAAGACCCAUGGGUAGCCAACUUUCUCUUCGAGGGACUGGAAUCUAGAUUCUGACAUUUGUCCACCAACAAUGGCAAAGGAAAAAGUGGUGCAAGUAUGCCAUCCAUUUAACUCAUAAGCAUAUUACCCUGAGUAACUAUGGCCAGCCAUUCAUCGGAUCCUUGAUUGGGUAGUCCUGAAAUCAGACAUGUUCCUGUAGAAAGAAUUUUAAGUGAGGCUCUCUAUGCACCUAUCAAGAAUAAAGAGAAAAGAUUGUAUCAAACAACGGCAGGGAAAAUCCUUCAGCAAUUCUGAUCCACUUUGGGUUUUCAAUGAUAUGUACAUCUAAAGCAAUAGCAGACUAGAACUGAAUUCUUUUCUACACUAUAAAAUCACAAUUGUGGAAUUACAAGAGUUCUGGCGAUAGUAAUGUGAAAUAACCAAAACACACACACAUACAAAUAGAAGGCCCCACUUUAACAAUUGAUAUGACAAGAAAUUUUAAUGAGAGAACCUAUAACUUCAUUUUGGAAAUGUUUCCCCACCAAAUAAGGGCUUGUCCUCCUAUCAUUUAAGGAGCCAGAUGAAUUAGAAGCCGUAGAAGGAGGCAGCUGUAGAAUUUGAUCUUCCAAGUACCCCCGUACAUGUAUUGAAUUCAAUCAUAAUGCUGUCAAAUUGCUCUGAUCUCAUGAAAGGAUUUCUAUUUGCUGUCAGUUAAAAAUAAAACCCCAAAUACAUUUUUAUUCUUUCUACUGGGUGCAUUGUCUGUUUUCUUUGUAAAUGUAGUACAAUAAACAAAUUAUUUAAUAACUUACAUGUUUCCAGAAGCUUUCUGUUCAUUUUUUGCCCGUUAGUCUGAUCCAGCCUUCAGAAUGGAGGAAAGGAUUGGUUGAGUUUUCUUCUUGAACUUCAGUAGGCAAUGAACUGUACAACUGAACGCGUGCCAUUUUGUGGGAUCUAGUUUUCGCCCAUUUUGAUAGAAUAACAAGGCUUGCCGUCCACUUGGCAGAACUGGACCGUGCAGAAGUACAAGCUGCCUACGAUCUGAGCCGUGUGCUUAGAAGUCGCCCUGCAGGCACUGCAUUGGUUUCUUUGGAUUUACUAAGUAGAGAGGAAAGCAUGG
Equus asinus (donkey) is the source of this 2058-nucleotide long non-coding RNA. NCBI's taxonomy places the organism in Eukaryota, Metazoa, Chordata, Mammalia, Perissodactyla, Equidae. The record is from Ensembl.